RNAcentral lists this transfer RNA (75 nucleotides) under Deltaproteobacteria bacterium. Its description in RNAcentral is "tRNA-Thr". It matches the Rfam family "tRNA". From Rfam's summary of the family: Transfer RNA (tRNA) molecules are approximately 80 nucleotides in length. The record is from RNAcentral. Lineage: Bacteria; Pseudomonadati; Myxococcota; Myxococcia.
GCCGGUGUAGCUCAGUGGCAGAGCAGCUGAUUCGUAAUCAGCAGGUCGGGGGUUCAAGUCCCCCCGCCGGCUCCA